RNAcentral lists this long non-coding RNA (1116 nucleotides) under Chrysemys picta bellii (western painted turtle). RNAcentral's name for it is "lncRNA (ENSCPBG00000016007.1)". Lineage: Eukaryota; Metazoa; Chordata; Testudines; Emydidae. The record is from RNAcentral.
AGUAGCUCUACUUACUCAUCACAGCAGCAGUUUGGUUUAAGCUGAAGAAAAGGAGUUUGCUUACAUAACUUUUUUCUAGGCUUUUUAAAAUUUACAUGAAUCAACUGAAGGAAAAUUGUGCAAUGAUUUAUUAAAAAUUAUACAUUUGGCAGUCUAGAAGGGGGCAGUGUUGCCAAAUCUUGAGAUUUUUAUUUAUUUAUUAUGAGUGAUGUGAGAAACUCCAGCCCUCUGACUGGUUGCCUGCCCCACUUGCCCAUCUCCUGGGCCAGAAUAACCAAUCAGAGCUUCUGCUGGCAGAGCACUCUUCUCCCCAUAGCAACCCAAAGCCAUUCUUGAGAGAGGUGGGGCUGUAAUGGAGAGUUAAAGAGCCCAGCAACUCAGGCUGAGUCUGCUCCCUCCUGUGAGCAGCAAGGACAGGGUAACUCCUCCCCUCUCCCUCACUACAGCUCUUGGCCUGCGAGGGGUGAAGAAUUGUUGGAGCUGCACCCCCAGCCUGGAACGGGGAGAGGAGAAUGAAGAAUCCUAGGAGGAGCCAAACCGUUUCUAGUCUAUUGAUGCCACUGGAGCCUGCACUCGCAGAUUUGAGUGACCGUGAAGCAGUUGCCCAGCCCUUCUCCCUGCUGCAGCGGCCGGGAGCUACUGCCAGGGACCCAGAGACACCAACGAGAGCCUGCAUCAAAGGAACUUCGAAACUUCCAUUUCCAGGUGGCUGAGAUAUUGUAUCUCAGAAGCAUAAAGUCAAAAAACGUAACUCUGUCUUGCAAUAUUAGAGCUCACUCCCUCAGAGUUGUGGCAGCUCCAUGGACAGAAAUAUCACAUUCCUCAUACAAGGACAUUUGUAAAGUAACCAGCUGGACAUUUAUUCAUACCACCUUCAGAUUCUACAAACUGUACAUCCUAUCAGCAUCUGAUGAAGCCUUCUGUAGGUGGGUGCUCCUCCCUGUAAUAUCCGAGUAGCUAUUGGGAAAGGGUUAUAUUAUUUUGCAUCUGUACAUAACUGUGUAUACAGUAUGCUCCUGUUUAUCUGAACAGCCUGGGGGACAUCUGAAACUUUCAGAUAAUCGCAGUAGCGUAGCUAGAGGGGAAGCGGGGGAGCAGCUGCUCCCCCACCAAGCA